GCCGGAGUGGCGGAAUUGGUAGACGCGCUAGCUUCAGGUGUUAGUGUCCUAUGGACGUGGGGGUUCAAGUCCCCCCUUUCGCACCA
Molecule: transfer RNA, 86 nt
Filed under: Providencia rettgeri
Lineage: Bacteria; Pseudomonadati; Pseudomonadota; Gammaproteobacteria; Enterobacterales; Morganellaceae
Description: tRNA-Leu
Rfam family: tRNA
About the family: Transfer RNA (tRNA) molecules are approximately 80 nucleotides in length. Their secondary structure includes four short double-helical elements and three loops (D, anti-codon, and T loops).
Source: RNAcentral